CGUUUUGUUACAGCCAAGGAUCUGCAAGCCUCUGGACCAGAGAAGCGCAACUGGCCUUUGCUGGACCCUCCGACGCGACAGAGGUUAGGAAACAGAGCCACUGAAUGUAAGCAGCUGGUAAGGAAAUGCAUUUAUAUUUAAACCCAGGGCCAUCUGAUUAUUUCCUUAAGAUAAAUUCUUAGAAGUGGAAUCCUUGGGCACAUACAUUUUUAAGACUUGUUAAAAUGGACAAAUUGCCUUCCAAAAAGAUAUAUCAAUACCAAAAUCAGACGAUAGUUCAAGAAAACCACAGACUAGUAUCCCUCAUAAACAGCAGAUGCAAAGAUCUGCAACAAAUUAUUAGCAAACCAAAUCCAGCAAUACAUGAAAAGAUUAAUACAUAAUUGCCAAGGAGAAUUAAAAUCUAGAAUGCAAAGCUGUUUCAAUAUUUGAAAAUCAAUCCAUUUAAUAAACCAUAUGAACAAUCUAAAAAGUUGAACCACAUGAUCAUAUCAAUUGAUGCAAGAAACAUUUGACAAAAUUAAACAGCCAUUUAAUUUAAGAAGAAAACAGUUCUCACAAAACUUGGAAUAGAAGGGAACUUCUUCAACUUGAUAAAGGGCAUCUACAAAAUUCUACAGCUAACAACAUACUUUAUGUGAAAACCUGCUCUCUCCCUAAGAUCAGGAACAAGGCAAGAAUGUCUACUCUCACCAUUUCUAUUAAACUCAUACUUAAAGUCCUAGCCAUUGCAAUAAGGAAAGGAAAAUUUUUAAAAUAUACAGAGUGGGGAAAAAAAGAAAGAAAACUAUCCUUGCUCACAGAAGACAUCAUCAUCUACAUAGAAAAUCCCAAAGAAUCAAUAACAAAAAUAAACUACUAGAACUAA
Long non-coding RNA from Myotis brandtii (Brandt's bat), 868 nucleotides. RefSeq lists it as uncharacterized. The record is from RefSeq and is a predicted model, not a curated record. The transcript is spliced from 2 exons. Lineage: Eukaryota; Metazoa; Chordata; Mammalia; Chiroptera; Vespertilionidae.